AUGAGAAUCCUGCCCUCUGGGUAGAUCUCCCACCCUGUGUUUACUAUACCAUUGUUGCUUUGCCGGGCCCGGCUCUAGGGCCCUCCGGCUUCGGCUGGACAGCGCCCGGCAGAGGCCAAAACUCUUUGUUUAAUAUUGUCAGAGUACUAUUUUAAUAGUUA
RNAcentral lists this unclassified non-coding RNA (161 nucleotides) under uncultured Ascomycota. Lineage: Eukaryota; Fungi; Ascomycota. The record is from RNAcentral.